Molecule: long non-coding RNA, 917 nt
Organism: Peromyscus maniculatus bairdii (prairie deer mouse)
Lineage: Eukaryota; Metazoa; Chordata; Mammalia; Rodentia; Cricetidae
Source: RefSeq, a predicted model, not a curated record
GUAGCAAAGGAUGACCUAGCCGCCAACUCCUGAUCUCCUGAGUGUUGGGGGCGCGGUGAACGCUAUCCACUGCCCCCAGCACCAGAAAGUCACCUGCCUGUGAGAUUGCAGGACUCUCAGCAGCCAGAGGAGGCAGGAAAGACCCCCUUUGGGCCGAGGGAGCUGAGCCUGUUCCUAGCAGAAGGUGGAGGACCCUGAGCAGAUGGCAGCUGCCCUCGCCCGGACUGCUAUUCACAGAGGCUCAGUUUCAAAUGGCUUCCUCACCCGGAGUGGCAGCGUGCCCAGUCUCGCCUGCCAGGCCUGGUAGUUUCCCUCUGAGAGGACAGGACAGUCUGGGUCAUCAAGCAGGAACUGGUCUUGGAAGACACAUGCUUGCUGUUUUAUUGGCAUUGCUCCAGGGACUAGAGUCCAAACUAGUCCCCGGGAAGGCGUGUGGUGGGGGCCAGAGGGGCUGCCUGCCUCUGUUCGCCUGGUCUCGGAUGUGCUGUAGGUGUCUCUCCGGAAGUCUCUGGGCCUCGGUGUCUUCUGUAAAAAGCCGAGUUAGAGAUGCUGCUGUGGGUUUCCCCUUGAUGCCACUGACUAAUGUUCUGCUCUGUGUCUAGAAAGAAGGAGGCCAUCACUGACAUGCUGACUAGUGAUGCCUGCUCUGUGCUGAGAAGGGAAGAGAGCAUCACUAACUGUCUUAUUGAUGCCUGGCUUGUGCACAGAAUGGAGGGAACUAUUGGCUGGCAGAUUGAUUGCUAAUGCCUGUCCUGUGCAAAGCAUGGAAGGAAUCAUUCAUUCAUCAACUGAUGGUUGAUGUCUCCCCAAUGGGUGAUUGGUGAUGUCUGCAUGGAGGGACGAGGCAGUGUAGUUUUAUCUACUUACCAUCCUCACAAAAGCAUUCCAGGCCUUUCUGAGAAUUAGAGGCACAGUCC